Molecule: ribosomal RNA, 274 nt
Filed under: uncultured bacterium
Lineage: Bacteria
Description: partial 16S ribosomal RNA
Rfam family: Bacterial small subunit ribosomal RNA
Source: RNAcentral
AUACGGAGGGUGCAAGCGUUGUCCGGAUUUAUUGGGUUUAAAGGGUGCGUAGGUGGUUUUUUAAGUCAGUGGUGAAAGCCUACAGCUUAACUGUAGAGGUGCCAUUGAAACUGGAAAACUUGAGUAUGGACGAGGUAGGCGGAAUUUGUGGUGUAGCGGUGAAAUGCAUAGAUACUACAAAGAACACCGAUAGCGAAGGCAGCUUACUAGGCCAUAACUGACACUGAGGCACGAAAGUGUGGGGAGCGAACAGGAUUAGAAACCCCGGUAGUCC